CGGCCGCCGUCCUCGCGCGGCUUCCCGGGCGGCUCUGCCCCGACCGUAGACUCCCGGCCCGCUCGCCGCGGCAGGAGCCGUGGUUCCGCGGACCUGGGCGCGCUCUCUCCCUGGCCACUGGGAGACCCCCCGCGGCCUCGCGGGGAAAACCUCGGGACUGCCCCGCGCCCCCGGCCGUCUCUGCGUCGCUCCUUCUCGCCCGCGACCGUGGACUCGUCCUCGCGAGCCUGGGUUGGCGGAAGCUGCGGGGGCCGGGGUCGCACUACUUGGCGCGGAAGGGCCGGCGGUGGGCGGAGGGAUCCCCGUCCGCGGGGUGAGCCGCUGGGCGGAGCCGGGAGGAGCCGCGAGGAUCCGCAGUGGGGAGCCGGGAGGAACCUGGCGCCGGCACCCACCCGCCGCGCGCACGCGCUCGGGUCUUCCCGGCGGGUCGUCCUGCACUUUCUCCCUCUCCGGUACGGACCGCGGCGUUCUGUUUCCAGGCAAAGGAAAAUAAGUCAAAGACUCAGAAGGCAGCCUGAAUCCAGGGCCUGGGAUGCAGGGUUUGCUGGAACGCCAGCCGGUGCGAUCGCGCCCCUGGGAUUCCGCUUAGCCCGCGCGUCCAUUUCCCUGCAUGGUGGACUCAGUAAAGCCGGAUCUGUCCAACGCCUGCAGCGUGGAUGUGGAGGCGGACUAAUCAACUAGUGCUCUGUUAUUAUUUCUACCCAUCCCUUUUCUCCAUGCUAAUUUGCUUAGAACUUUAACAUUGAAUGGACAGCAAAUGUCAUGUUCUGUUUAAUUAUCACUCCUUGACCAUUAUGUUAAUUUCUUUCCCUAACAAGGUGACGCAUUGUUUUAAGUAACAAUGACCAACUCAUCUACUCUUCUUCCAAAUUGUGUAAAUUGAAGGGUAAAAUGUGGGAAAACGCUAAAUUUGAAUGCUAAAUUUGAACAUUUCACACAACAAUAAUUUGAAAUGCUUCUUUGCAAUAUUAUGGCGUUUCGGAACAGAUAAAAAUACUUCAUUUUCAGACAUUUGGUCAACAAAUACUUCUUGGACGUUUAUAUGCAAAGCAAUGCAUGUAACAUUUUCAUUACUUUGCAAGUGUGCUUAUCAGUAAAAGAAUUUUGUUUUAAAUUCUAGCCUUCGUUUAAAUGUAUUUUAGUUACCACAUUGGGAAGAAAAUAAAAUAUUACUAUGU
Molecule: long non-coding RNA, 1178 nt
Filed under: Homo sapiens (human)
Lineage: Eukaryota; Metazoa; Chordata; Mammalia; Primates; Hominidae
Description: non-protein coding LINC01003:3
Source: RNAcentral